AUUGUUUAUCAGCCUUCUGGCUAUGAUUAAGUAUAGUAUCCAUUUGUAUCAGUUUGAUAUUUCAUGUUCCUCUAUCAGAACAGUGUAUUUGAUGGGUUUUUCUAGCUGGGAGAUAAAAUAAGAGUUUGAUUCACUCACUCCACGCAUUGUUCUGAUAUUUCAGUACUUCCAGAAAUAUGCACCCCUC
Small nuclear RNA from Meriones unguiculatus (Mongolian gerbil), 187 nucleotides. Its record names the gene U2. It matches the Rfam family "U2 spliceosomal RNA". From Rfam's summary of the family: U2 is a small nuclear RNA (snRNA) component of the spliceosome (involved in pre-mRNA splicing). Complementary binding between U2 snRNA (in an area lying towards the 5' end but 3' to hairpin I) and the branchpoint sequence (BPS) of the intron results the bulging out of an unpaired adenosine, on the BPS, which initiates a nucleophilic attack at the intronic 5' splice site, thus starting the first of two transesterification reactions that mediate splicing. NCBI's taxonomy places the organism in Eukaryota, Metazoa, Chordata, Mammalia, Rodentia, Muridae. The record is from Ensembl.